AAACCCUCUCCAGGAGAAUUCUGCAGUUUUACAAAGUAACACUGGUGCCACUACAAAUGGGACUAGGUACUAUUGGGUCAGUGUGGGAAAGGAGACACAGCAGCAAGGAUAGCUCCUGUAUUCUACCAAGUUUCCUGACCAAUUUCCCGCCUCUCAAUGAAGACACUGAAUACCAGAGAAAACUGAAAAGUAUCAGACGAAACAUGUCCAGUGGCACAUCAAGAUUAAAUAAACUCUGGUGGGAAAACGAUCAUGCAUGGAGGGAUCUUGGUCAGCCAAGAAUGGAGGGAAUCAACUUGAGAAGAUUCUUCUAAUACAGAGGAACAAAACAAACACGCAAAAAUCAAAAACUAUACUGUGCAUCUUGCCAGUGAGAGGGAUCUUUGGAUACUUCCCAAGG
This 400-nucleotide long non-coding RNA is filed under the name Mus spicilegus (steppe mouse). Its description in RNAcentral is "lncRNA (ENSMSIG00000024213.1)". Lineage: Eukaryota; Metazoa; Chordata; Mammalia; Rodentia; Muridae. The record is from RNAcentral.